RNAcentral lists this ribosomal RNA (253 nucleotides) under uncultured prokaryote. RNAcentral describes it as "partial 16S ribosomal RNA". It matches the Rfam family "Bacterial small subunit ribosomal RNA", at positions 525 to 777 of the family's 1533-position model. The record is from RNAcentral.
ACGUAUGGUGCGAACGUUGUUCGGAAUCACUGGGCAUAAAGAGCACGUAGGCGGUUGAGCAAGUCCAUUGUGAAAUCCCCCGGCCUAACCGGGGAACUGCAUUGGAUACUACUUGACUUGAGUGCAGGAGGGGAGAGUGGAGUUCCAGGUGGAGCGGUGAAAUGCGUAGAUAUCUGGAGGAACGCCGGCGGCGAAAGCGACUCUCUGGUCUGUAACUGACGCUGAGGUGCGAAAGCUAAGGGAGCAAACGGGA